RNAcentral lists this ribosomal RNA (492 nucleotides) under uncultured bacterium. RNAcentral describes it as "partial 16S ribosomal RNA". It matches the Rfam family "Bacterial small subunit ribosomal RNA", at positions 29 to 507 of the family's 1533-position model. The record is from RNAcentral.
AGUGAACGCUGGCGGUAGGCCUAACACAUGCAAGUCGAGCGGCAGCACAGUAAGAGCUUGCUCUUACGGGUGGCGAGUGGCGGACGGGUGAGGAAUACAUCGGAAUCUACUUUUUCGUGGGGGAUAACGUAGGGAAACUUACGCUAAUACCGCAUACGACCUACGGGUGAAAGCAGGGGAUCUUCGGACCUUGCGCGAUUGAAUGAGCCGAUGUCGGAUUAGCUAGUUGGCGGGGUAAAGGCCCACCAAGGCGACGAUCCGUAGCUGGUCUGAGAGGAUGAUCAGCCACACUGGAACUGAGACACGGUCCAGACUCCUACGGGAGGCAGCAGUGGGGAAUAUUGGACAAUGGGCGCAAGCCUGAUCCAGCCAUACCGCGUGGGUGAAGAAGGCCUUCGGGUUGUAAAGCCCUUUUGUUGGGAAAGAAAAGCAGCAGGUUAAUACCCCGCUGCUCUGACGGUACCCAAAGAAUAAGCACCGGCUAACUUCGUG